This 253-nucleotide ribosomal RNA is filed under the name uncultured bacterium. RNAcentral's name for it is "partial 16S ribosomal RNA". It matches the Rfam family "Bacterial small subunit ribosomal RNA", at positions 524 to 776 of the family's 1533-position model. The record is from RNAcentral.
UACGUAGGUGGCAAGCGUUGUCCGGAUUUACUGGGCGUAAAGGAUGCGUAGGCGGACAUUUAAGUCAGAUGUGAAAUACCCGAGCUUAACUUGGGUGCUGCAUUUGAAACUGGGUGUCUAGAGUGCAGGAGAGGUAAGUGGAAUUCCUAGUGUAGCGGUGAAAUGCGUAGAGAUUAGGAAGAACACCAGUGGUGAAGGCGACUUACUGGACUGUAACUGACGCUGAGGCAUGAAAGCGUGGGGAGCAAACAGG